UGCACUCCCUAUUGUAAGUUGCUCUGGAUAAGAGUGUCUGCAAAAUGAAUUAAA
Molecule: non-coding RNA, 54 nt
Organism: Salmo salar (Atlantic salmon)
Lineage: Eukaryota; Metazoa; Chordata; Actinopteri; Salmoniformes; Salmonidae
Source: Rfam